GUUGACCUUACAGCAAACCCUACAGUCAUUUCAUAAGAAAAACUACCGUCAACUG
This 55-nucleotide non-coding RNA is filed under the name Dictyostelium discoideum. RNAcentral describes it as "Class I RNA from Dictyostelium". It matches the Rfam family "Class I RNA from Dictyostelium". The record is from Rfam by way of RNAcentral. RNAcentral also lists the same sequence under 1 other name. Lineage: Eukaryota; Evosea; Eumycetozoa; Dictyosteliales; Dictyosteliaceae.